CGCCCGCCCCCGAGGCCACCCGGCGGCGGCGGAGGGGAAGCCCCGGCCUUCGGCUUGCCGGGAAAAGGCUCCCGUGCGGCGGGAAGGUCCCAGCACGGAGACCCGAGAAGGAUGGGGGGAUUCUCAGUGCCCCCCGCCCUUCAAUCCCCUUCAGCCGUCACGGCACCCCGCGAGGGUCUCGAUGCCCCGCAGACGUGGCCUCGGGUGGCGGAGUGGCGGUGGCGUGUCCCAGUAGCAGGUAGCAGCUCUGGCACCUCUCGGUUUUGAUACCCGAGUCUACCCGCUAUGUGUCCCCUUACAAAACAAGACAACAUMCCACAGCUUCAUAAAACUUAAUCUGAGGAAUGUUUUGAUUUGAAACCAGUACAGAAACUUUGGAAUCUCAUACUUCACCAGGAGAUUAAAAUCUGGAGCUCCUUUCUUCUGCCUAUCUGGGACCGUUUUGACUGACCCUGCCAUUCUUGAGAGGAGGUCUUGAUGAAGAGUGCAGGUGGUGUUUCCUCUUCCUUGCCAGCUAUGGAGUCCAUUUGCUGCCUCUKUUGGUUCCACCUGAAUGGUUAGAGAGGAGCCCUUCCUGCAUGAGCUGCCGGACAAACAACUGCUGUGCUCCACUCGAGGUUGCUCAGGUGCCCUGGAGCCAUUUAAAUCUCCCACGGYUGCUCCUAGCACCACCUCCCUCUUGCUUGGUUGGCUACUGAGG
Malurus melanocephalus (red-backed fairy wren) is the source of this 700-nucleotide long non-coding RNA. RefSeq lists it as uncharacterized. The record is from RefSeq and is a predicted model, not a curated record. The transcript is spliced from 3 exons. Lineage: Eukaryota; Metazoa; Chordata; Aves; Passeriformes; Maluridae.